AUGACGGUGCUGCCCCCCUCCAGUGAGGAGCUGCAGCAUAGGGAAGGCCACACUCAUGUGACUAUUGCAAUGCUCUUUAUGUUGGUGUUUCCCAGUGAUGUCCGUCCCACCCUGACGGUGCUGCCCCCCUCCAGUGAGGAGCUGCAGCAGGGGAAGGCCACGCUCAUGUGCCUGGCCAACAAGGGCUUCCCCUCAGACUGGAGUCUGUCCUGGAAGGUGGACGGCAGCAGCAGCAGCAGCUGGGAGGAGAGCAGGAGCCCCGGGGUGCUGGAGAAGGACGGCCUCUACAGCUGGAGCAGCACCCUGAGGCUCCCUGCAGACCAGUGGAGGAAGGUGGUCUCUGUGAGCUGUGAGGCCACCCAGGGCUCCCAGACUCCAUUCUCAGAGACACUGAGGAGAGACCAGUGUUCCCAGUCCUGACUCACUCACUGGGACUCUCAUACUGGUCUGACUCUGUUACUGCUCUC
This is a non-coding RNA of Amphiprion ocellaris (clown anemonefish), 467 nucleotides long. Lineage: Eukaryota; Metazoa; Chordata; Actinopteri; Pomacentridae. The record is from the annotation of a RefSeq genome assembly.